RNAcentral lists this ribosomal RNA (265 nucleotides) under uncultured archaeon. RNAcentral's name for it is "partial 16S ribosomal RNA". It matches the Rfam family "Archaeal small subunit ribosomal RNA", at positions 748 to 1009 of the family's 1478-position model. The record is from RNAcentral.
UAGCCGUAAACGAUACUCGCUAGGUGUCGGCCACGGUGCGACCGUUGUCGGUGCCGUAGGGAAGCCGUGAAGCGAGCCACCUGGGAAGUACGGCCGCAAGGCUGGAACUUAAAGGAAUUGGCGGGGGGAGGCACAACAACGGGUGGAGCCUGCGGUUUAAUUUGGACUCAACGCCGGACAACUCACCGGGGACGGACAGCAAUAUGUAGGCCAGGCUGAAGACCUUGCCUGAAUCGCUGAGAGGUGGUGCAUGGCGUAGACGUCU